RNAcentral lists this long non-coding RNA (743 nucleotides) under Cyanistes caeruleus (blue tit). Its description in RNAcentral is "lncRNA (ENSCCEG00000022710.1)". The record is from RNAcentral. Lineage: Eukaryota; Metazoa; Chordata; Aves; Passeriformes; Paridae.
GGAUUUCAGUGCCCAGCUCUACUGGGACACUCAGCUGCUGAACGACUUCUUAAUGGGUGCCUUUGUCAUUGUCCUCAAGGCUUCCAUCACUGCUUCUGGAUGGUGACUUCAUAUUGCAGUCAUUAUGCAAAAUUCCUUCUUGAUAUGGUUAAAGUGGUUCAUUAGAGAGAGGCAAGGUGAGAGUGUGUUCACCACAUGCCUGCUGCUUUUACAAAUGAGGUAAAAAUGAAUUUCUUGUGAUGCUGAGUACUGAGUUUGGUGUGGAGUCAAAUAAACUCUGCUCUCUGACCCUUGCUAAGAGCUGAGACAUCCAAUGGCCUGGCUCAUGCUGGCCUCAGGGACUCCAGUUAUCCCUCUCUGUGUCCUAGUGAUGGGAAGGAUCUGAUCAUCAACUGUGGGAACAAAAAACAGUAACUAAUGUUUAUUUUCUACUUAGGCUGAGCUCCUGCAAGCUAAUUUACACCUUUAUUCUUCACUUGCUUUCCUGGCAGCAGGAUCUGCAUAUAAAGCUCCUUCCUCUGCACUGCUUUCACCCACAAGUCUGAUUGAAUUGCACAUUGCAGAAUGCAGUGUGUGGAGGGCAUGCACAGCACCAGUGUGAGCAGGUGUCCCCCAUGUUGGAUGAGCUGGUGCAGCUGCAGGAAGAAAAUGACAACCGUGGGGUGUGUGAUUCGUUCCCUGGCUGAUGCCUCUCUGAGCAUGCAAUGGCACUGAGCCACCCGAAAGCAGCAGCGAUGCAGGCG